This 503-nucleotide ribosomal RNA is filed under the name uncultured bacterium. Its description in RNAcentral is "bacterial SSU rRNA". It matches the Rfam family "Bacterial small subunit ribosomal RNA", at positions 28 to 523 of the family's 1533-position model. The record is from RNAcentral.
GACGAACGCUGGCGGCGUGGAUUAGGCAUGCAAGUCGAACGGUAUCAUCCUUUCGGGGGUGAGAGAGUGGCGAACUGGUGAGUAACACGUAGGUUAUCUACCCUCAAGACGGGGACAACCCAGGGAAACUUGGGCUAAUACCGGAUGUGAGCAACUUUUAGUUGUUUGAAAGGUGGCGUAAGCUGUCGCUUGGGGAUGAGCCUGCGUCCUAUUAGUUAGUUGGUGAGGUAACGGCUCACCUAGGCAAUGAUAGGUAGGCGGCCUUAACGGGUGGUCGCCCACACUGGGAUUGAGAUACGGCCCAGACUCCUACGGGAGGCAGCAGUCGAGAAUAGUCUACAAUGGUCGGAAGACUGAUAGUGCGACGCCGCGUGAACGAUGAAUCCCUUCGGGGUGUAAAGUUCUUUUAUAUGUGAGCAGUGCUUCUUAAUAUUAACAGUAUGGGGGAAGAGAUAUUAGCAUAUGAAUAAGCAACGGCUAAUCCGUGCCAGCAGCCGCGGUAA